GCCACAUGAUGAACUGCAAUGAACAUUAGCACAUUGUGCAAAGAUGACUUUUACCUAUCACCCUUAACUGAUGGCU
Leucoraja erinaceus (little skate) is the source of this 76-nucleotide small nucleolar RNA. RefSeq annotates it as small nucleolar RNA SNORD83. Lineage: Eukaryota; Metazoa; Chordata; Chondrichthyes; Rajiformes; Rajidae. The transcript has a single exon. The record is from RefSeq and is a predicted model, not a curated record.